CCUAGUAACGGCGAGCGAAGCGGGAAGAGCUCAAAUUUGAAAGCUGGCACCUUCGGUGUCCGCGUUGUAAUCUCGAGACGUGUUUUCCGUGUGGCGCUAUGGACAAGUCCCUUGGAACAGGGCAUCGUAGAGGGUGAAAAUCCCGUACUUGCCAUGGCUGUACCAUGCUUUGUGAUACACGCUCUAAGAGUCGAGUUGUUUGGGAUUGCAGCUCAAAAUGGGUGGUAGANCUCCAUNCUAAAGCUAAAUAUCGGGGAGAGNNACCGAUAGCGAACAAGUACCGNUGAGGGAAAGAUGAAAAGCNACNNNUUUGGNNAAAGAGAGUUNAAAAGUNACNGUGAAAAANNUUGUCGAAANNGGGAANNNGCGCUUGAAGUCAGCCAUGCUGCUUGAGACUCAGCCUUGCUUUUGCUUGGUGUAUUUCUCGGUAGCAAGCCAGCAUUGGUUCGAGUCGUCGGAGAAGGGUAUGAGAAAUGUGGCAUCCUCGGAUGUGUUAUAGACUUGUACUGGAUACGACGA
RNAcentral lists this ribosomal RNA (519 nucleotides) under Malassezia pachydermatis. RNAcentral's name for it is "partial large subunit ribosomal RNA". It matches the Rfam family "Eukaryotic large subunit ribosomal RNA", at positions 79 to 579 of the family's 3401-position model. Lineage: Eukaryota; Fungi; Basidiomycota; Malasseziomycetes; Malasseziales; Malasseziaceae. The record is from RNAcentral.